GACAACGUGGCCGAGUGGUUAAGGCGGCUCCCUGCUAAGGAGUUUCCAUUUGGAGCGCAGGUUCGAAUCCUGCCGUUGUCG
Molecule: transfer RNA, 81 nt
Organism: Entamoeba invadens IP1
Lineage: Eukaryota; Evosea; Mastigamoebida; Endamoebidae
Rfam family: tRNA
About the family: Transfer RNA (tRNA) molecules are approximately 80 nucleotides in length. Their secondary structure includes four short double-helical elements and three loops (D, anti-codon, and T loops).
Source: Rfam